UCCUACGGGAGGCAGCAGUGGGGAAUAUUGGACAAUGGGGGGAACCCUGAUCCAGCCAUGCCGCGUGUGUGAAGAAGGCCCUCGGGUUGUAAAGCACUUUCAGCGAGGAAGAACGCCUAGCGGUUAAUACCCGCUAGGAAAGACAUCACUCGCAGAAGAAGCACCGGCUAACUCCGUGCCAGCAGCCGCGGUAAUACGGAGGGUGCAAGCGUUAAUCGGAAUUACUGGGCGUAAAGCGCGCGUAGGUGGCUUGAUAAGCCGGUUGUGAAAGCCCCGGGCUCAACCUGGGAACGGCAUCCGGAACUGUCAAGCUAGAGUGCAGGAGAGGAAGGUAGAAUUCCCGGUGUAGCGGUGAAAUGCGUAGAGAUCGGGAGGAAUACCAGUGGCGAAGGCGGCCUUCUGGACUGACACUGACACUGAGGUGCGAAAGCGUGGGUAGCAAACAGGAUUAGAUACCCUGGUAGUCCACGCCGUAAACGAUGUCGACCAGCCGUUGGGUGCCUAGCGCACUUUGUGGCGAAGUUAACGCGAUAAGUCGACCGCCUGGGGAGUACGGCCGCAAGGUUAAAACUCAAAUGAAUUGACG
RNAcentral lists this ribosomal RNA (586 nucleotides) under uncultured bacterium. RNAcentral's name for it is "bacterial SSU rRNA". It matches the Rfam family "Bacterial small subunit ribosomal RNA", at positions 337 to 915 of the family's 1533-position model. The record is from RNAcentral.